This 721-nucleotide long non-coding RNA is filed under the name Equus asinus (donkey). RNAcentral's name for it is "lncRNA (ENSEASG00005033914.1)". Lineage: Eukaryota; Metazoa; Chordata; Mammalia; Perissodactyla; Equidae. The record is from RNAcentral.
ACUUAACACCUCCUUCCUUGCCCGGAGGCCAGAGCUCAAGCCCAUCCCCUGUGCCUACACAGCAGGUAGCUCUGUGGCCUCUACUUCCUCUUCACAGCCAUCCCUAACUUGUUUGCUGCGCCCCAGACCAUUCAGUCUUGUCUUCACCCUUUAGAAUUUCUCUGGUUCCUGACAUACACAAGGGAUUGGUCAGAGGAAUGCACCAGAAGAAAUCCUACCACACAGAAGUUUUCUGUAAAAAAAAAUGAGAUGGUGGAAUUUGAAUACAGAAGUAACUGAUCUGUUCUGAACUUAUAAUGGAUCUCAUGGAAAAUACUAACAUUACCUUCAGCCAUGUCUCCUUACACCCCUCUUGGCUGUGACUGUUUCUCAGACCUUGCUUGCUUUUGAAGGCCUUGACAGUUUGAGCACUACGAGUCAGCACCAUGCAAGGGUUCUCAAAGUGUUGUCCUUGAACCAGCAGCAGCAGCUGCAUCACCUAGGGACAGAUCUCUCUGGUUCCAGUUUCUCUUCUGUUUUCAAAGUGAUAUGCUGAAGAGGAAGGCACAUUAUCGGGAAGUGAGAAUAGGUGUGUCCAACAUCUUGUCUUCUCCUUCAGCCUGGGUCCUGGAAUGAGAAGACAUGUGGGGCAGAGCCGUGCAGAAUCCGGUAGAGGCAAGCAAAACUGCAACUGAUCCACAGAUGAAAGCAUGAUAUGAGCAAGAAAUAAAUUUUUGUUGUU